GCGGUCAAGAGCCCUCAGCCAUCCGAGUGGCUGUGAGAGAGCCAGCGGGCUGGGGUCAGCCUGAGGCAACAUGCAAAUCCCUAUGCCUCAGAGCCGUUGUUCAACUGAGCAAGAGAAAAGAUCAGCACAGAAGGCUGCAGGGUAAUCUUACACCGCUGAGACUGGCAAGGUUAAGGGCAGACACUGCAAGAGUACCCAGGGGCUGAAGAAAUUGCAAGUGCUAGACAUCGAGAUGGCUUUGAGCAACCCUGUGGCCAGUGUCCUCAACAGUAGUUCUUACCACAAUGCAGAAGACCUUCUCCUGGGACCACAUCUUACAAAGUCUUUUGAUUACAAAUAGUGGCAUAAUGACAUUAGCUGAUAAUUCAGUGGCUACUGUGACACUGAUGUGGUGAUUAAACUAAUGAAAUAACAGAACAAGCUCACAUUUAGCAGUCUCUUGAUAUGAAAGACAAAGUCAUGCUGAGAAUCCAGUGUACUUUCAUUAACAUGAGUUUGUAUUGAUUCCUGCAUCAAAUAAACAGGUCCUCAGCCCAAGAUCUUUGCUGUCAACUAGCCAUUUGGAUUUAAGUGGAGGCAAUGGAGGGCAGUUAAAAAUGUGCAGAGGGAAGCUUUGGAAGGAGAAACUAUCAGAAAAUGUGUUUGGGGAUGUUCUCUGAACACAGUUUACAAGAGAAAGGUUAAGGAUUGGGUAGGGUAUCAUCUAGACCUCUGUUAGGACACAUACCAAGUCUGCCGGGUCAUAAACACAAAUGUCUACAGGAGCCAGGCGGGUAUCAUCGCUGAGUGAACAGGCAGGAUGGGUGUCAGGAGGGAG
RNAcentral lists this long non-coding RNA (817 nucleotides) under Equus caballus (horse). Its description in RNAcentral is "lncRNA (ENSECAG00000049280.1)". Lineage: Eukaryota; Metazoa; Chordata; Mammalia; Perissodactyla; Equidae. The record is from RNAcentral.